UUGGUCCUAAACUUACUGCUACUUUUAAUCAAAUUUACACAUGCAAGCAUCCACACACCAGUGAAAUACGCCCUAACACAGUAUAAAUGGAGCAGGUAUCAGGCACAACUGCCAGCCAAAAACACCAAGCUUUGCCACACCCACACGGGCCAUCAGCAGUGAUAAACAUUAAGCAAUAAGCGAACACACCAAACUAAAGCUUGACUUAGUUAUGAUUAACAGGGCCGGUAAACCUCGUGCCAGCCACCGCGGUUAUACGGUGGGCCCAAAGCAGCAGACCCUCGGCGUAAAUAGUGGCCAGAAUAAUUACCCCCACAUUAAAAACUAAACCAUACCCUAACCGUAAAACACAGGCUAAAUGAAAUCAAGCACUUUUAAUAGCAGGUAAUUUGACCCACGAAAACUAAGAAACAAACUAGGAUUAGAUACCCUACUAUGCUUAGUCGUUAAUAUGAUAUCAUAAUACUAAAAUAUCCGCCAGAAAACUACGAGCGAAAAGCUUAAAACUCAAAGGACUUGGCGGUGCUCCAUACCGACUUAGAGGAGCCUGUCCUAUAAUCGAUACCCCACGCUAAACCUCACCAAUCUUUGCCAAACCAGCCUAUAUACCGC
This 612-nucleotide ribosomal RNA is filed under the name Sceloporus cyanostictus (blue-spotted spiny lizard). RNAcentral describes it as "partial 12S ribosomal RNA". It matches the Rfam family "Bacterial small subunit ribosomal RNA", at positions 12 to 1004 of the family's 1533-position model. The record is from RNAcentral. Lineage: Eukaryota; Metazoa; Chordata; Lepidosauria; Squamata; Phrynosomatidae.